RNAcentral lists this non-coding RNA (28 nucleotides) under Mus musculus (house mouse). Lineage: Eukaryota; Metazoa; Chordata; Mammalia; Rodentia; Muridae. The record is from RNAcentral.
UACAGCAAAAUGGUGCCAAAGCGCUACC